UACGAAGGGGGCUAGCGUUGUUCGGAAUUACUGGGCGUAAAGCGCGCGCAGGCGGUUCUUUAAGUCAAGGGUGAAAUCCCGGAGCUCAACUCCGGAACUGCCAUUGAAACUGUUGAACUUGAGUACGAGAGAGGUGAGUGGAAUUCCCAGUGUAGAGGUGAAAUUCGUAGAUAUUGGGAAGAACACCGGUGGCGAAGGCGGCUCACUGGCUCGUAACUGACGCUCAGGCGCGAUAGCGUGGGGAUCAAACAGG
Molecule: ribosomal RNA, 253 nt
Filed under: uncultured bacterium
Lineage: Bacteria
Description: partial 16S ribosomal RNA
Rfam family: Bacterial small subunit ribosomal RNA
Source: RNAcentral